Molecule: transfer RNA, 75 nt
Filed under: Desmophyllum pertusum
Lineage: Eukaryota; Metazoa; Cnidaria; Anthozoa; Scleractinia; Caryophylliidae
Description: Lophelia pertusa tRNA
Rfam family: tRNA
About the family: Transfer RNA (tRNA) molecules are approximately 80 nucleotides in length. Their secondary structure includes four short double-helical elements and three loops (D, anti-codon, and T loops).
Source: Rfam by way of RNAcentral
GUUCCAGUGGCCUAGUAGUGGUAAGGCAUCUGACCGGUAACCAGGAGACCCGGGGUUCAAAUCCCGGCUGGGACA